This 441-nucleotide ribosomal RNA is filed under the name uncultured bacterium. RNAcentral's name for it is "partial 16S ribosomal RNA". It matches the Rfam family "Bacterial small subunit ribosomal RNA", at positions 338 to 795 of the family's 1533-position model. The record is from RNAcentral.
CCUACGGGUGGCAGCAGUAGGGAAUUUUGCGCAAUGGGCGAAAGCCUGACGCAGCAACGCCGCGUGAUUGAUUAAGCCCUUCGGGGUGUAAAGAUCUGUCAGUGGGGACGAAACUUGACGGUACCCACAGAGGAAGCACCGGCUAACUCCGUGCCAGCAGCCGCGGUAAUACGGAGGGUGCAAGCGUUGUCCGGAAUCAUUGGGCGGAAAGUGUUCGUAGGUGGCAUAUUAAGUCUGGUGUUAAAUGCAGAGGCUCAACUUCUGUUCGGCACUGGAUACUGGUAAACUAGAAUGCGGUAGAGGUAAAGGGAAUUCCAGGUGUAGCGGUGAAAUGCGUAGAUAUAAGGAGGAACAUCAGUGGCGAAGGCGGUUUACUGGGCCGUAAUUGACACUGAGGAACGAAAGCCGGGGUAGCAAAUGGGAUUAGAUACCCGUGUAGUC